GAUGAACGCUGGCGGCGUGCCUAAUACAUGCAAGUCGAGCGAAGCGGGGACGGGUGAGUAACACGUGGAUAACCUCCUUUAAGACUGGGAUAACUUCGGGAAACCGGAGCUAACCCGGUUACUUAUAACAGGAUCCGCGCUGCAUUAGCUAGUUGGUAGGGUAACGGCUUACAAAGGCAACGAGGCAUAGCCGACCUGAGAGGGUGAUCGGCCACACUGGAACUGAGACACGGUCCAGACGCCUACGGGAGGAAGCAGUAGGGAAUCUUCCGCAAGGGGCGAAAGCCUGACGGAGCAACGCCGCGUGAGUGAUGAAGGUCUUCGGAUCGUAAAACUCUGUUAUUAGGGAAGCGGUACCUAAUCAGAAAGUCACGGCUAACUACGUGCCAGCAGCCGCGGUAAUUC
Molecule: ribosomal RNA, 405 nt
Filed under: uncultured bacterium
Lineage: Bacteria
Description: partial 16S ribosomal RNA
Rfam family: Bacterial small subunit ribosomal RNA
Source: RNAcentral